CUGCUGCCUCCCGUAGGAGUUUGGGCCGUGUCUCAGUCCCAAUGUGGCCGUCCACCCUCUCAGGCCGGCUACUGAUCGUCGCCUUGGUGGGCCGUUACCCCACCAACUAGCUAAUCAGACGCGGGUCCAUCUUACACCACCUCAGUUUUUCACACUGUCCCAUGCGGGACUGUGCGCUUAUGCGGUAUUAGCACCUAUUUCUAAGUGUUAUCCCCCUGUGUAAGGCAGGUUACCCACGCGUUACUCACCCGUCCGCCACUAAAG
Molecule: ribosomal RNA, 264 nt
Filed under: uncultured bacterium
Lineage: Bacteria
Description: partial 16S ribosomal RNA
Source: RNAcentral